AGUGGCGGACGGGUGAGUAACGCGUGAGAAUCUGCCUUGGGGUCGGGGACAACCACUGGAAACGGUGGCUAAUACCGGAUAAGCCGAUUGGUGAAAGAUUUAUUGCCCGAAGAGGAGCUCGCGUCUGAUUAGCUAGUUGGUGAGGUAAGAGCUCACCAAGGCAGCGAUCAGUAGCUGGUCUGAGAGGACGAUCAGCCACACUGGGACUGAGACACGGCCCAGACUCCUACGGGAGGCAGCAGUGGGGAAUUUUCCGCAAUGGGCGAAAGCCUGACGGAGCAAGACCGCGUGAGGGAGGAAGGCUCUUGGGUUGUAAACCUCUUUUCUCAGGGAAGAAGCUCUGACGGUACCUGAGGAAUCAGCCUCGGCUAACUCCGUGCCAGCAGCCGCGGUAAUACGGAGGAGGCAAGCGUUAUCCGGAAUUAUUGGGCGUAAAGCGUCCGCAGGUGGCGAUUCAAGUCUGCUGUCAAAGCACGGGGCUUAACUCCGUAAAGGCAGUGGAAACUGAAUAGCUAGAGUGCCGUAGGGGUAGAGGGAAUUCCCGGUGUAGCGGUGAAAUGCGUAGAGAUCGGGAAGAACAUCGGUGGCGAAAGCGCUCUACUGGACGGCAACUGACACUCAGGGACGAAAGCUAGGGGAGCGAAUGGGAUUAAAUACCCC
Molecule: ribosomal RNA, 660 nt
Filed under: uncultured bacterium
Lineage: Bacteria
Description: bacterial SSU rRNA
Rfam family: Bacterial small subunit ribosomal RNA
Source: RNAcentral